AAAGCGCUACCUUUUUGCCAUUCUCCGAAACUUCAACGGCUAAUUUAUCUUCUCGGUCGACUUCUGUUGAACUUAGUGGACGAACACUUUUCAUGGAGUUCCUGUUGUGAGUGAAAAGGACAAGAUGUUAAAGAUGAAGAACAUUCAUGAACAUAGAAAACUAACGGACAAAAGCGUGAAAGAAAAUCUCAUGAAUUUUAUUUCCAUGAUGAGCCAUGGUUUGUAUCAUAGAUAUCAUUACGAUUCACAUUACCAAAUGUAAAAUUAUUAUAAUAAGUGUAAAAUUAUUGAUAUAGU
Molecule: long non-coding RNA, 297 nt
Organism: Xenia sp. Carnegie-2017
Lineage: Eukaryota; Metazoa; Cnidaria; Anthozoa; Malacalcyonacea; Xeniidae
Exons: 2
Source: RefSeq, a predicted model, not a curated record